UGUAUACAUUUUUUGUACUCUAAGAAAGAGAGACUGUUUUAUGUUUUUGUAGGUAAACAAACAAAAGAGAAAAUUCUUGGCGUUUAUAAUACACUUUUGGUCGUUUUAAAAAUAUGGAUAAUUAAAAGAGCAUUGACGUAUCGCGUUCUUUAUUACUUUCAAGUUAUGUACUUUCCAUGAAGUAUGCUGUGUAUAGUAUGUGAUAUUAAUUGUACGUAGAUAUUUUUUAAAAACACAAAGCCACUGUCAAUGUUACAAUUAAUCACGAAUAAGUGAGUAUGGUUUUAAUACCAAAGAAUAAUAUUAAACUUAAGAAAUAACGAAUAAAAAUGCAACUGAUAACAUUUUUUUUUAAUUUUUCCAUCAUGAGCUAAUAUUAAAGCAAAAGCUACACAGACUGCCUCAGAGCUUUUCUAGCGUAUUAGUGACGUUUAAUUAUAACUUAAACUACUAAAAAUACAGAUUAUAAGUAUUUUAAUCCUGUGUCUCUAAACUAGACUGCUGUUUGAGUCAUUUUUUUCAUAAUGAUUAAUGGUCAAGAAAAUCGAAGAAACACUGAAAAGGUCAAAAAUAUCACGGCUGUGUUUAUUUUUACUCGAUUACAAUGUCUGAAAGAAAUAGCCUUUAAAGUAAUAUUCAAGCGUUUACAAUUAUCAUAUACACGCAAGAAUACCGCAGAAUGAGUAAAUUGUAAAUAAUCAUUGGUGAGCGAAUUUGUUUUACCAUAGACUUAUUUUACAGGCGAUGGUAUUUUCAAAUGCAUAUUUAUUAUGACCUUAUUAACCAAUUAACCAAUGUUGUGCACACUAACUUUCUCUUGAUGACUAAUAGCUUUAAUCAAUAUGAUACAGCAUUUCAAAUAGUAGUUACACCAUUAGCACACCUUAUCUAGGUUUUUUAUCAGAUCAUGUCUGCGAUAAGAGCUUUCAUGGUAUUCAAGCACCUUCUCACGCUUUAGAAAAUCUCUUCUUUCAACUUUUUCGAACACGGAUACCUGUGGAUUCAUCUGCAGUAUCUUUAGAACUGAGGACCUCAUCUGCUUGGACUUCCAUACCAAGAAUAUGAUGAUUGUUAUCGUUAAAUUUGCAUCGCAUACAGGCAACAAUGCUAGCCAUGGUCAACUUUCUCAUAUCCGUACGAAACAACAAUAUAUACGAUGUACUGGACGUCAACAACCAAGAAACCUGGGUGGUAUUAAAUGACAAGCGGGAUUCUAGUAUGCGUCUAGCAACGAUGCCAACUCCAAGUCUCUUUAACUGGGUAAUUUAAGUAUGACGAAUACCAAUGAUAAAAAGUAUGUUAACCUUUAUAAGACAAUCGUACAACAUUUACACUAAAAGUAUGGGUUCUAAGAAAUGAUUUGUUUCGAGUGAGAACUUUCCAAUACAGCCUUUAUUGGACUAUAAUAUCUCUCAAAGUGUCUUAAUUUAGGGCAUUACAGAAAGGUCUCACUGACAUGAAUGCACUCAUUUGAGUUACCUGACCCACGGCGUAUGCUGAAAUGAUCAACUUCGCCUUGGCCUCUAUGGAUUACGUCUGUAGUAACGGUUGUCAGCCACAACGUUCGAACGAUGGUACAUGCUACAAAGCUUUUACACUCUGGUCUUCUAUCUGCGUUGCAAGCUGAUGGUGUUCUACUAUUUUUUUGGUAUUUUUGGGAUCACGACAGUAAUGACGGCUGUACAGGUAAUUUUAUUUCGAAUAUGUUGUCAAUGGUAGGCGUAGAUUUGCCUUAGUCGUCAUUUGACCAUAACGCUCGUAAAAGGCGCACUAACAUCUAAAGAAUUUGAGCCAUGAUGUCGACUAGGAAAGUCAUUUAUACCUUUGUUUCUUUUAACUGGAGGAAAUUGCAGCGAAGGAGGAUAUCUUCAACCUUGUUCAAUUCAUAUGAGGUAUUUAAGCAACAAGACAUGCUGAAAAAGUCAACUUUGCCUUGAGAUCCAGCGAGGACUACUUCAAAACUAGAAUUUUUCAUCCAAGAAAAAGUGGCACUGCUGUGGAUAUACUGGGGUAUCUUGGUCAUUGGAUGGUGGUGAAAACACUGACCAAAUAGGUGUCUUCAUACGUGCAUCCUACAUCUAGAUCGAGAGGAAGUAUAACGGAUAUUCUUAAAUUAGCCGGUGAUGACGCAACGUCUAUAGUGAGGAUCUACAUCCAUGGCUUUCAAGCAACGGGGCAAGCUAAGAUGGACUUUCUAAUCUUCAUUUUUUUGGACAAUGCAACUUUCCUGGGCGUUGGUAACUAGGAAGUUUUAGCAAUAGUUAAUACUAGAUGAGCCUUUUUUAUCUUGGACUUGGCUGAAUAGUAAUGCUAAAAAUGGGCGUACUUACAUGGUUUCCUAGCGAUGGAUCAUACUGGAAAUACUGAAAGGGUGUCUUCUACUCUGAUUUUAAUCAACGAUAACAUUAGCACUGAGUGUAUAAAUCCAAGGAAUCUAAGCAACAGAAAAUUGAGCAAGUCUACUUUACUGUGGAAUAAGUCUACUUUAAUAUCUCAACCCAUUCAAAGUAA
Molecule: long non-coding RNA, 2511 nt
Organism: Copidosoma floridanum
Lineage: Eukaryota; Metazoa; Arthropoda; Insecta; Hymenoptera; Encyrtidae
Source: RefSeq, a predicted model, not a curated record